RNAcentral lists this transfer RNA (87 nucleotides) under Phycisphaerae bacterium. Its description in RNAcentral is "tRNA-Ser". It matches the Rfam family "tRNA". Rfam says of the family: Transfer RNA (tRNA) molecules are approximately 80 nucleotides in length. The record is from RNAcentral. Lineage: Bacteria; Pseudomonadati; Planctomycetota; Phycisphaerae. RNAcentral also lists the same sequence under 1 other name.
GGUGGGGUGGCCGAGCGGUUGAAGGCGCCGGUCUUGAAAACCGGUAAGGGGUUCGCCUCUUCAUGGGUUCGAAUCCCAUCCCCACCG